Long non-coding RNA from Gadus chalcogrammus (walleye pollock), 848 nucleotides. RefSeq lists it as uncharacterized. Lineage: Eukaryota; Metazoa; Chordata; Actinopteri; Gadiformes; Gadidae. The transcript is spliced from 5 exons. The record is from RefSeq and is a predicted model, not a curated record.
CUGAAUGCGUGUUGAUGAUGAUGCAUAUGAAUUGCAACUUACACGUCUUCCAAACCUUUUCAGUACCCUGGCACAUGCUUUGUCCAAUGGACCAUGGAAGGGACUUUACUUGGCUGACGAGGACGCACCUCACCAGUAUCAGAGCAACAGCUGUGGGGUGUUUAUGCUGAUGGGGGACAUGCUCUCUAUCAGGAGGUGGUGGUUGGACAGCUGUUGGAGACCUUUAUGCUUGAAAGCCCUGCAGAACUAGCUGACUCCUUCUCACCCUCUCCAUCUCCCCAUCUCAGUCACACCUUCCAAUCACUAAGCAGUGAAAGCCCUGCAGGACUAGCUGGCACACCAAGCUCACCCUCUCCAUCUCCCCAUCUCAGCCACACGCUCCAAUCUGGCACAACAGAGGACAGGCCAUUCUUACCACCCGAAGUCCUUCAGCAAAUUGUACAAGAGACGCUGAGACUGGACAUGGCGAUGCUUGGCGUGUUCAACAGGGUUUCAAAAACAUUCCGAGAACUAAUCAAGCCUCUCCAUCCUUCCAUAUAUAUAUAUGACAGUUUGGCAGGGGACAUUAAGCUUAAUAAAGACAAUCUCAUAUACAAAACGGUUAGAAAGAUUUACAACAAUGCAGGCUGUGGCAGUGGCCUUGCGCUACGCCUCAAAGGCUUUUCAAAAUAGAAGAAUUGGCCAAGCGCACCCCUGGUACUGAGGCACGUUGCAUAUGGCAGGUUUGUCAUAAAAGAUGUCUGCCUAGCAUAAUGUUCUUUUAUUACUCCUUUUUCGUUUUAUUUGGGACGUCUUCUUUUGCAAUCCCUUUCAUUUGUAAAUGUACAUACUACUGUAGUAAAUGUAUC